UAAAUUAAAGGAAAUGGCUAUCUUCCUUCUACAAACCGCCACUAACGGCUGAUGAUACCUACGUUACC
Molecule: non-coding RNA, 68 nt
Filed under: Acinetobacter gerneri
Lineage: Bacteria; Pseudomonadati; Pseudomonadota; Gammaproteobacteria; Moraxellales; Moraxellaceae
Also listed under: 1 other name
Description: Fluoride sequence
Rfam family: Fluoride riboswitch aptamer (crcB RNA motif)
Source: RNAcentral